AGAGUUUGAUCAUGGCUCAGGACGAACGCUGGCGGCGUGCUUAACACAUGCAAGUCGCACGGAAGCAGCAAUGCUUCAGUGGCGAACGGGUGCGUAACACGUGAGAAAUCUGUCCAUCGGCGGGGGAUAGCCGGCCCAACGGCCGGGUAAUACCGCGUACGUCGGCGAGAACGCAUGUUCUUGCCGGGAAAGCAGCAAUGCACCGAUGGAGGAUCUCGCGGCCUAUCAGCUUGUUGGCGGGGUAAUGGCCCACCAAGGCGACGACGGGUAGCUGGUCUGAGAGGAUGAUCAGCCACAUUGGGACUGAGACACGGCCCAGACUCCUACGGGAGGCAGCAGUGGGGAAUAUUGCGCAAUGGGCGAAAGCCUGACGCAGCGACGCCGCGUGUGGGAUGAAGGCCUUCGGGUUGUAAACCACUGUCGGGGGGGACGAAACAAAUGACGGUACCCCCAAAGGAAGCACCGGCUAACUCUGUGCCAGCAGCCGCGGUAAUACAGAGGGUGCGAGCGUUGUCCGGAAUUACUGGGCGUAAAGGGCGCGUAGGCGGCUUGAUAAGUAGGAGGUGAAAUUCCAUGGCUCAACCAUGGAUCGGCCUUCUAGACUGUCAGGCUUGAGCACGGUAGAGGCGGAUGGAAUUCCCGGUGUAGCGGUGGAAUGCGUAGAGAUCGGGAAGAACACCAGUGGCGAAGGCGGUCUGCUGGGCCGUUGCUGACGCUGAGGCGCGACAGCGUGGGGAGCAAACAGGAUUAGAUACCCUGGUAGUCCACGCCGUAAACGAUGGGCACUAGGCGUCGGGGGGAGCGACCCUCCCGGUGCCGUAGCUAACGCUCUAAGUGCCCCGCCUGGGGAGUACGGCCGCAAGGCUGAAACUCAAAGGAAUUGACGGGGGCCCGCACAAGCGGUGGAGCAUGUGGGUUUAAUUCGAAGCAACGCGAAGAACCUUACCAGGGCUUGACAUGACCAGGAUCCCGGCGGAAACGUCGGUCCCGCAGGGCUGGUACAGGUGUUGCAUGGCUGUCGUCAGCUCGUGUCUGAGAUGUUGGUAGUCCCGCACGAGGCGCACCCCCCUACUGGUGUGGUUGUAUCACCUCACACGGGACCUGGCCGGAGAGUA
This 1115-nucleotide ribosomal RNA is filed under the name uncultured bacterium. RNAcentral describes it as "bacterial SSU rRNA". It matches the Rfam family "Bacterial small subunit ribosomal RNA", at positions 8 to 1161 of the family's 1533-position model. The record is from RNAcentral.